This 301-nucleotide ribosomal RNA is filed under the name uncultured bacterium. Its description in RNAcentral is "partial 16S ribosomal RNA". It matches the Rfam family "Bacterial small subunit ribosomal RNA", at positions 509 to 807 of the family's 1533-position model. The record is from RNAcentral.
CAGUAGCCGCGGUAAUACGUAGGGUGCGAGCGUUAAUCGGAAUUACUGGGCGUAAAGCGUGCGCUGGCGGUUCGUUAAGACAGAUGUGAAAUCCCCGGGCUUAACCUGGGAACUGCAUUUGUGACUGGCGAGCUAGAGUAUGGCAGAGGGGGGUAGAAUUCCACGUGUAGCAGUGAAAUGCGUAGAGAUGUGGAGGAAUACCGAUGGCGAAGGCAGCCCCCUGGGCCAAUACUGACGCUCAUGCACGAAAGCGUGGGGAGCAAACAGGAUUAGAUACCCGUGUAGUCCCUGUCUCUUAUAC